AGAUGGGUACUGUGAUAUACAGCAGAUUUUCUUGCUACAGAAAUAGCACACUGCUCUGCAAAUGAAUUGGCCAUACAGAAAGGGGAGCUGAAUGACUUCGAUGUCAACUUCUCCACUCCAGGAGACUGUUGGUCCUGGAUUUCUCACCGGAAAACUAGACAUCACUCUCACAGGGAAAAGAUGUGCUAUCGGCAUCCCACGUCUAAGGGGUAACCUCUCUCCCUGAGGUAUUUGUCAUCCCGUUUGCAUGGACAGCCAAAGGAUUGUUGCAGUUCAGGUCUCACCAGCACUCCUGCAGGUGGCCUUUGGCAUUGGAGUAAGUGAUAAGGCAGCCUCUUUGAUCUGUUGCUACACUGCUACCACGAUCCUGCUCAGGCCUCAAUAAGGACGGCGAUAUUGCCGCCAUGCUCAAGGGUACUCACAUGCUGAAGAUCAAAUCCAGCUCAUGGAUGAAAUCACACUUUUAUAAGCUGAAUGAAGACUGUUGGACGGUGUGGUACAAUUCCAAAAAGAUCCUGAAGUCAGCCAGGAGCCAAAUGUUCUCGAUCGACGACAUCAAGGAGAUGAGACCAGGUCACCAGACAGAAGGAAUGAAGCAGUACGUCACGAAGAUACCCACCGACCGCUGUUUCACAGUCGUAUUUAAGGGCAUGAGGAAGAGCUUGGAUCUUGUGGCCUCCGACGCCAACGAGGCCUGGCAUUGGAUCUGUGGGCUCUCCAAACUAAAGCAGAGAGGCUGCAGCAUGGACAAGAGAGAGCGGCUGGUCUAGCAUCCAUCUAGGAGUGUGUCACGGCAGAGCGCCAGGGAGAGAGGGUGCCACUUCCCUCAUGGUCUCCAACAGCAGCCCCCAAGUCCACCCCUACCCAAUGCAGAAGGUCAAAGGCACCUCCCCAUGUUAGGAAUUUUUCCUGCUUGUUUCCCCUAUGUGAUUUGCAUUUCCCUCAGGCCCUCAGACUCCAUAGAUUCCAUGAGCUACUAAUGGUUUUUCAGUAUUAUUUUAAUAUAUAGUUAACCUUUAGGUUUUAACAUGUUAUAAGUAUUAUAGGCUAAACUUAAUGUUACAGGUGUUUAUGAAAAGUAAAGUUACU
Molecule: long non-coding RNA, 1089 nt
Organism: Mobula hypostoma (lesser devil ray)
Lineage: Eukaryota; Metazoa; Chordata; Chondrichthyes; Myliobatiformes; Myliobatidae
Exons: 5
Source: RefSeq, a predicted model, not a curated record